RNAcentral lists this transfer RNA (83 nucleotides) under Flavobacteriaceae bacterium. RNAcentral's name for it is "tRNA-Ser". It matches the Rfam family "tRNA". From Rfam's summary of the family: Transfer RNA (tRNA) molecules are approximately 80 nucleotides in length. Their secondary structure includes four short double-helical elements and three loops (D, anti-codon, and T loops). Lineage: Bacteria; Pseudomonadati; Bacteroidota; Flavobacteriia; Flavobacteriales; Flavobacteriaceae. The record is from RNAcentral. RNAcentral also lists the same sequence under 1 other name.
GGAGGGUUGCCGGAGUGGUUAACGGAGCAGUUUGCUAAACUGUCGACUUUCGGGUCGCAUGAGUUCGAAUCUCAUACCCUCCG